UACGGGGGGAGCAAACGUUGUUCGGAAUCCCUGGGCGUAAAGGGCGUGUAGGCGGCUGAAUAAGUGGGAUGUUAAAUCCCCCGGCUCAACCGGGGACCUGCAUCUCAUACUGUUCAGCUCGAGCACAUCAGAGGAGACUGGAAUUCCCGGUGUAGCGGUGAAAUGCGUAGAGAUGCGGAGGAACACCGAUGGCGAAGGCAGCCCCCUGGGCUGACACUGACGCUCAGGCACGAAAGCGUGGGGAGCAAACAGG
This 253-nucleotide ribosomal RNA is filed under the name uncultured prokaryote. Its description in RNAcentral is "partial 16S ribosomal RNA". It matches the Rfam family "Bacterial small subunit ribosomal RNA", at positions 524 to 776 of the family's 1533-position model. The record is from RNAcentral.